CUUCACCUACGGGGCGCAGCAGUGGGGAAUAUUGCACAAUGGGGGAAACCCUGAUGCAGCGACGCCGCGUGAGCGAAGAAGGAUUUCGGUAUGUAAAGCUCUAUCAGCAGGGAAGAAAAUGACGGUAACUGACUAAGAAGCCCCGGCUAAAUACGUGCCAGCAGUCGCGGUAAUACGUAUGGGGCAAGCGUUAUCCGGAUUUACUGGGGGUAAAGGGAGCGCAGGCGGCUUGGCAAGUCUGAUGUGAAAGGCUGGGGCUCAACCACAGGACUGCAUUGGAAACUGUUAGGCUGGAG
This 296-nucleotide ribosomal RNA is filed under the name uncultured bacterium. RNAcentral's name for it is "partial 16S ribosomal RNA". It matches the Rfam family "Bacterial small subunit ribosomal RNA", at positions 331 to 646 of the family's 1533-position model. The record is from RNAcentral.